RNAcentral lists this ribosomal RNA (913 nucleotides) under uncultured bacterium. RNAcentral describes it as "bacterial SSU rRNA". It matches the Rfam family "Bacterial small subunit ribosomal RNA", at positions 33 to 928 of the family's 1533-position model. The record is from RNAcentral.
ACGCUGGCGGCGUGCCUAAUACAUGCAAGUAGAACGCUGAAGAGAGGAGCUUGCUCUUCUUGGAUGAGUUGCGAACGGGUGAGUAACGCGUAGGUAGCCUGCCUUGUAGCGGGGGAUAACUAUUGGAAACGAUAGCUAAUACCGCAUAACAAUGGAUGACACAUGUCAUUUAUUUGAAAGGGGCAAUUGCUCCACUACAAGAUGGACCUGCGUUGUAUUAGCUAGUAGGUGAGGUAACGGCUCACCUAGGCGACGAUACAUAGCCGACCUGAGAGGGUGAUCGGCCACACUGGGACUGAGACACGGCCCAGACUCCUACGGGAGGCAGCAGUAGGGAAUCUUCGGCAAUGGGGGCAACCCUGACCGAGCAACGCCGCGUGAGUGAAGAAGGUUUUCGGAUCGUAAAGCUCUGUUGUAAGUCAAGAACGAGUGUGAGAGUGGAAAGUUCACACUGUGACGGUAGCUUACCAGAAAGGGACGGCUAACUACGUGCCAGCAGCCGCGGUAAUACGUAGGUCCCGAGCGUUGUCCGGAUUUAUUGGGCGUAAAGCGAGCGCAGGCGGUUUGAUAAGUCUGAAGUUAAAGGCUGUGGCUCAACCAUAGUUCGCUUUGGAAACUGUCAAACUUGAGUGCAGAAGGGGAGAGUGGAAUUCCAUGUGUAGCGGUGAAAUGCGUAGAUAUAUGGAGGAACACCGGUGGCGAAAGCGGCUCUCUGGUCUGUAACUGACGCUGAGGCUCGAAAGCGUGGGGAGCGAACAGGAUUAGAUACCCUGGUAGUCCACGCCGUAAACGAUGAGUGCUAGGUGUUGGAUCCUUUCCGGGAUUCAGUGCCGCAGCUAACGCAUUAAGCACUCCGCCUGGGGAGUACGACCGCAAGGUUGAAACUCAAAGGAAUUGACGGGGGCCCGCACAA